Molecule: ribosomal RNA, 247 nt
Filed under: Paenibacillus lautus
Lineage: Bacteria; Bacillati; Bacillota; Bacilli; Caryophanales; Paenibacillaceae
Description: partial 16S ribosomal RNA
Rfam family: Bacterial small subunit ribosomal RNA
Source: RNAcentral
GGGUUAAGUUCCGCAACGAGCGCAACCCUUGAUUWUAGUUKCCAGCACUUCGGGUGGGCACUUUAGAAUGACUKCYGGUGACAAACCGGAGGAAGGCGGGGAUGACGYCAAAUCAUCAUKCCCCUUAUGAYUUGGGCUACACACGUACUACAAUGGCUGGUACAACGGGAAGCGAAGCCGCGAGGUGGAGCCMAUCCUAUAAAAGCCAGUCUCAGUUCGGAUUGCAGGUUGCAAMUCGCCUGCAYGA